UUAGGAACUGUUGGCCAGGUGGGUCAGUAUUAGGAACUGUUGGCCAGGUGGGUCAGUAUUAGGAACUGUUGGCCAGGUGGGUCAGUAUUAGGAACUGUUGGCUAGGUGGGUCAGUAUUAGGAACUGUUGGCUAGGUGGGUCAGUAUUAGGAACUGUUGGCUAGGUGGGUCAGUAUUAGGAACGGUUGGCUAGGUGGGUCAGUAUUAGGAACUGUUGGCUAGGUGGGUCAGUAUUAGGAACUGUUGGCUAGGUGGGUCAGUAUUAGGAACUGUUGGCUAGGUGGGUCAGUAUUAGGAACUGUUGGCUAGGUGGGUCAGUAUUAGGAACUGUUGGCCAGGUGGGUCAGUAUUAGGAACUGUUGGCUAGGUGGGUCAGUAUUAGGAACUGUUGGCUAGGUGGGUCAGUAUUAGGAACUGUUGGCUAGGUGGGUCAGUAUUAGGAACUGUUGGCCAGGUGGGUCAGUAUUAGGAACUGUUGGCUAGGUGGGUCAGUAUUAGGAACUGUUGGCCAGGUGGGUCAGUAUUAGGAACUGUUGGCCAGGUGGGUCAGUAUUAGGAACUGUUGGCCAGGUGGGUCAGUAUUAGGAACUGUUGGCCAGGUGGGUCAGUAUUAGGAACUGUUGGCCAGGUGGGUCAGUAUUAGGAACUGUUGGCUAGGUGGGUCAGUAUUAGGAACUGUUGGCUAGGUGGGUCAGUAUUAGGAACUGUUGGCUAGGUGGGUCAGUAUUAGGAACGGUUGGCUAGGUGGGUCAGUAUUAGGAACUGUUGGCUAGGUGGGUCAGUAUUAGGAACUGUUGGCUAGGUGGGUCAGUAUUAGGAACUGUUGGCUAGGUGGGUCAGUAUUAGGAACUGUUGGCUAGGUGGGUCAGUAUUAGGAACUGUUGGCUAGGUGGGUCAGUAUUAGGAACUGUUGGCUAGGUGGGUCAGUAUUAGGAACUGUUGGCUAGGUGGGUCAGUAUUAGGAACUGUUGGCUAGGUGGGUCAGUAUUAGGAACUGUUGGCUAGGUGGGUCAGUAUUAGGAACUGUUGGCUAGGUGGGUCAGUAUUAGGAACUGUUGGCUAGGUGGGUCAGUAUUAGGAACUGUUGGCUAGGUGGGUCAGUAUUAGGAACUGUUGGCUAGGUGGGUCAGUAUUAGGAACUGUUGGCUAGGUGGGUCAGUAUUAGGAACUGUUGGCUAGGUGGGUCAGUAUUAGGAACUGUUGGCCAGGUGGGUCAGUAUUAGGAACUGUUGGCCAGGUGGGUCAGUAUUAGGAACUGUUGGCCAGGUGGGUCAGUAUUAGGAACUGUUG
Oncorhynchus keta (chum salmon) is the source of this 1289-nucleotide long non-coding RNA. RefSeq lists it as uncharacterized. The record is from RefSeq and is a predicted model, not a curated record. Lineage: Eukaryota; Metazoa; Chordata; Actinopteri; Salmoniformes; Salmonidae. The transcript is spliced from 3 exons.